Molecule: ribosomal RNA, 1355 nt
Filed under: Campylobacter jejuni
Lineage: Bacteria; Pseudomonadati; Campylobacterota; Epsilonproteobacteria; Campylobacterales; Campylobacteraceae
Description: bacterial SSU rRNA
Rfam family: Bacterial small subunit ribosomal RNA
Source: RNAcentral
GAAGCUUCUAGCUUGCUAGAAGUGGAUUAGUGGCGCACGGGUGAGUAAGGUAUAGUUAAUCUGCCCUACACAAGAGGACAACAGUUGGAAACGACUGCUAAUACUCUAUACUCCUGCUUAACACAAGUUGAGUAGGGAAAGUUUUUCGGUGUAGGAUGAGACUAUAUAGUAUCAGCUAGUUGGUAAGGUAAUGGCUUACCAAGGCUAUGACGCUUAACUGGUCUGAGAGGAUGAUCAGUCACACUGGAACUGAGACACGGUCCAGACUCCUACGGGAGGCAGCAGUAGGGAAUAUUGCGCAAUGGGGGAAACCCUGACGCAGCAACGCCGCGUGGAGGAUGACACUUUUCGGAGCGUAAACUCCUUUUCUUAGGGAAGAAUUCUGACGGUACCUAAGGAAUAAGCACCGGCUAACUCCGUGCCAGCAGCCGCGGUAAUACGGAGGGUGCAAGCGUUACUCGGAAUCACUGGGCGUAAAGGGCGCGUAGGCGGAUUAUCAAGUCUCUUGUGAAAUCUAAUGGCUUAACCAUUAAACUGCUUGGGAAACUGAUAGUCUAGAGUGAGGGAGAGGCAGAUGGAAUUGGUGGUGUAGGGGUAAAAUCCGUAGAUAUCACCAAGAAUACCCAUUGCGAAGGCGAUCUGCUGGAACUCAACUGACGCUAAGGCGCGAAAGCGUGGGGAGCAAACAGGAUUAGAUACCCUGGUAGUCCACGCCCUAAACGAUGUACACUAGUUGUUGGGGUGCUAGUCAUCUCAGUAAUGCAGCUAACGCAUUAAGUGUACCGCCUGGGGAGUACGGUCGCAAGAUUAAAACUCAAAGGAAUAGACGGGGACCCGCACAAGCGGUGGAGCAUGUGGUUUAAUUCGAAGAUACGCGAAGAACCUUACCUGGGCUUGAUAUCCUAAGAACCUUUUAGAGAUAAGAGGGUGCUAGCUUGCUAGAACUUAGAGACAGGUGCUGCACGGCUGUCGUCAGCUCGUGUCGUGAGAUGUUGGGUUAAGUCCCGCAACGAGCGCAACCCACGUAUUUAGUUGCUAACGGUUCGGCCGAGCACUCUAAAUAGACUGCCUUCGUAAGGAGGAGGAAGGUGUGGACGACGUCAAGUCAUCAUGGCCCUUAUGCCCAGGGCGACACACGUGCUACAAUGGCAUAUACAAUGAGACGCAAUACCGCGAGGUGGAGCAAAUCUAUAAAAUAUGUCCCAGUUCGGAUUGUUCUCUGCAACUCGAGAGCAUGAAGCCGGAAUCGCUAGUAAUCGUAGAUCAGCCAUGCUACGGUGAAUACGUUCCCGGGUCUUGUACUCACCGCCCGUCACACCAUGGGAGUUGAUUUCACUCGAAGCCGGAAUACUAAA